UUUUUCAAAAUAUUUGAUUAUGUAUCGAAGCAGUAGUAUGAGAUAAAGAAGGGGUAUUCCGAGUUUAUCUUACCUAUCGGAGGCCUAUUGCAGCGCCACACACCUUUUUCACGCCGAAAGGUUCUUAACAAUUAACAAUUAACAAGAUUUAUGGUAUGAAAGAGUACGAAAAUCAAAAAAGAAGAUUAUUUUUGAUUUAUUUCUUUUUUGAUUUUGAUUUGAAAAAAAAAAAAAAGAAACUUUGGGAUUGCUGAAUCACAAAAAAAAUAAAUAUAUAAAGCAACGGAGCCAUCAUAGUAUUUUUGAACUCCUCAAAAAAAAAAGAAGGGUGGUAAUUGGAUCAUUUACCCAUCUGGGUAUAAUAGAACCCCCUUUUUAUCCUUGUUUGAUGAAGGGUAAAAAGCAAAUUCCAUUGGCGAGCCGUAUGCAAUGCGAAAAAGUGCCCGUACGGUUGUUCAAUUCUAUCUUUUUCUUUAUCUCUUCCCCUCGCCGAAUCGUGCGAGAUAGAGGAACCUUUUAUUAUGUUAUAAUAUAUCAUCAGGGUCAUGAUCCAUCAACCUAUUGGCGCUUUUUAUGGGGCACAAACGGGAGAAUUUAUCCUGGAUACGGAAGAACUACUGAGACUGCGCGAAAUCCUUACAAUGGUUUAUG
RNAcentral lists this long non-coding RNA (651 nucleotides) under Citrus maxima (pomelo). RNAcentral describes it as "long non-coding RNA (CMAX_LNC004254)". Lineage: Eukaryota; Viridiplantae; Streptophyta; Magnoliopsida; Sapindales; Rutaceae. The record is from RNAcentral.